AAGGCCGCGCUUUGCAGUGCCCUGGGAGGUGCAGGCCUGCUGCAUGCUGCGGGGUUGCUGUUCACAUCAGCGGGACUUACAGAGGUGGUUGGAGCCAGCAAGGUAUGAAUAGAUUCAUGAAGGUCUCUGCAGGGUAAGGAAAUGUUUUCGCAGCCUGCUGUUACCUGAUCCAGUCGAUUUGACAUGGCCCCUUAUCAUGGUUGAUCUGAGCAAUGCUCAAUAUUCAGAAACAGAAGUAGCAGCAAACCUCUUCCUUUUCUUCCUUCUCAGUUAACAGGAAAAAUGUUUUGAUUAGUUUGAAGGCUAGGAUUUCUUCUGUGUCUGUUUAGAUAAGCAAAUGAAUGAGUGCAUAUAUGCAAGAGUGAGAGAGAAAAAGAAGUUGCUGAGAGCUAAUUUGAAGAAAUUAGCCUUAUAUUUGCUCCAUUCGUUUCAGGCUAGAUUCUAUUAUUAGUUCCACAAAUUUAAAUGCACACCAUUUCCACUGGUUUCAACGAAAUGUGGACUUUCAGCUUGGAAGCCCAAACCUGUAGCCACUGCUCUAGCCAAACCCAAAUAUUCCUUCCUGUAAAAAGUCAGCACAAGUAGCCUGGUCUUUGUGUCACUGGCCACACCUGCAGCCAGCAUGCCUGGUGGUCUGCUUCGAUACCCAGCAUCCACCCACAGCAGGCUGUUCUCCUGUCUGAACCUCCUGACCUGCUGCCUGGGGGACACAGAAGCUCUGCAUCACCAGUGCUGGGACGUGCAGGCUGUGGCCAUGAGGUCUGGCUGCUCAACGGGCUGAAAGCCAUGCAUGCAAAGUUAGCGUUGAAUUGACGCCCGUACCUUUCAUGAGAUCUAUUAUCCACCUACAGGCUGUUUUCACUUUGAAGUGGCAUUUGCUCCAUAAUAAGUAACAUCUCAAAAUGCUGUUAAUUAAAGUUUCAUCUGUUUAGAGGAUUUUCUUUUUCUUCCUCCCCCCUCUUUUUUUCCUUUCCUUUUCAGAAGCUAGUAAUUAGUCCAAUAAUGUGGAGACAUUGUUACUGCAGCUCAUUAAAUUUGGCAAUGCUCACUUGGACCUUUGAGUGCUGGCAGUGUCAAGUUGACCUGAAACGCAAGGAUUCCAUCUGUCGGGAAUUACUGAUGAAUUGGAAAUUAAAUAUAAGUAUAUAUAUUUAACUCAUUACUUGUGCUGGAUUGACAGUCCUGCGAGCGCUGGCAUUUCAUGUUCAUCGACAGAUUAAUCGUGCUCCCCCCGGGCUCCAGCCCUCAUGGGGAGGGACCGGCAGCAGGGAUGAGAGGAGAGCCAGGUGCCACGGGGAUUUAAUUCUCGUUCUGUCUGCGGAAUACGCUGAUGAGAGUGGCAGUUUGAGGGAAUGAAGACAUAGACCUGCCAUUUCUGUAAAGACCAUGUUCUUUGCAGGGAUUCUGCAGUGUGAAGAAGAACUGGCAUGGACCCCACUGCAGAACAGCUGUGCACAAGCCCAGUGUCCUCGAGCACCUGCUUUCUUCAAGCACUCAUACCACAAAGUACAAAAUGAGCUUGCAAGAGCUGUGGACAUUUGUCCUGGUCAGGUGCCACCCUGAAUGAGUCCAUGCUGGCUCUGCAUGGAGGGGACAUCAGGCAAGCACUUGUGACACCUUGUGCAGGCAUGGUUGAUAUGUUUAUCUCAUUAAUGUAAUUUUUCUAUAAAUGUGCAGACAUUUCUCCCAUCUUAGCACUGAAAAGGCAGCAUGACAGCUGUGUUCUCACCUGCGCUACAUGGGAGCUCAGCUUAAGCAAGGAGAAAGAAGUGUCCCUGUGUGGCUGGGGGAUUUUCAGCUUGGGGCAGAAAAGCAGGCUUUCUGUUUGGUUGUUUUCCUGCUCUGGCUUCCUCAAGUAAGGCCAACAAAGAGUAGGGGCUGGCCAGGUUCUACUGGUGUUUGUUUGAUCUUCCACUAAUGAAGCCUAAGUAUAAGUUACUGCACCAGCUACUCCCCUCACCAUACCACUUUCAGGGAGCACAAGGAUCAUUUUCCAGUGCUCCUGUGCUGUCUCAGUGGUGAUUUCUUGCUCCACUACCCAUCCUAUCGCUGCAAAACAAAAUACAUCACCACAGUGGGUUUGUCAUGUUUGCCUUCUAGCUGCUAUCAGACAGGUUCACUGUCAGCUACAGAGCUAAUGCCAAAACCAGGUAUGUGGGCAUGUUGAAAUACAAGGCUUCUUGAAAGGAGGGAGAAAUAAGGCUGCUUACAGAAGCUCUUAAAUGGGAUGAGGUUUUAUCUUGUGUUAGACUGUGGAUUGACUCAUCGCGAGUAAUGUUGUGAAAUCCACGGGAAGAGACUGCUUGUGCUAACUGGCAGAGCAACCUCAACUGAACACUUGCAGGUUUGGAUAGACUGGUAAGCUUCCAUAGCUGAUGAGAUGACAGUGCUUUAUGUUCUCAUCAGCACGUUGUCUUGCUGGGUCAGGGGAGGGCAUUUCUCUGUUCAAAGAGAGUGGUUUAGUACAGUAGGUGUUCCGAAUGUAUGCGUACACAUGCAAAAGAAGGAAACAUUCACUCCCACAAAGGUCCUUGCUCACUCUUCCAUCCUGAAACCUCUCCCCUCCUCAACCUUGGUGUUGAGGCUGUGCAGCAUUCAACCAGGUGUUUGGGAACAAAGCCUGGUCAGCCACUGGGUCCCCUGCCAUGUGUGUGUGGAUUUGCCAAGGCUCUCUGGUACCUCAUCCUUCUCAAAUGAUGGCAGCACACCCUUUUGUUGUUCUGCAUAUUGGGGACAGCCUAGAAGGUAGAAGUCACGUUGAUCCAGGUCUAAAACACCAAAAAGAUUUGAGGCAUGGUGCAGAGACAGUGGCAAGGAGAUGGUUAACAUCCUCCCCCUUAGCAGGGAGAGAUGCAGCUGCUGAUCCAGUCUGACAAACCGAAAGGGGAUCCAACCCCCAGGGAAAUGUGUCUGGAGUUACUUAAUCCCAAAAGGAUUAGACAAGGAAUACACUCUAGGGAAUCUCUCAAGACUUACUGCCGUUAAAAAAAAAUGAAAAGAAACCCCUCAAACCAACAACAACUCCUUCCCCCUUGACAGUGUGCAGCAAUGGAUGCCUCUGAACUUUCACCAAAAAACACUGGGAGGGGCAGCAGGGAUGUGGUCCAACUCUUCUCGCUAUGCUUUUACCUCCCAUCCUACCACUGAGUCAGUCAGUGCUGUUACUCUGGAAAUCAUCCUCUGCCUUGGCUUCAGUGGUGCUAUCAUUUCCUGCCUCUCCUCCUUCUUCUUUAAUCUCAUUCAGCACGUCCUAUGGAGGAGCUUCUCAUCUCCCUCCAACUUCUGUAUGGAUUUCAUCACUCUGAGUCUUUUAUCCCCACCUCUUCCUCCUUUGUAUCUUACCUCUGGUUAAUCUCAGCCGUGCUCCCCACUUUGCCUGUACAUCUGUUAUCUUUUUGACUUGUAUUUAGACUGCAAGCUCUUUGGAAUAGGGCCUGUCUUUUUAUUUUAUACUUUUACAGUACCUCUAGAAAUCUCCAGGAGCAUGAAAUCACAGACUGGAUUUAAGUCAUCGCGCAGAAUAAAAACAUUAAAAGAGAACUAACUCAUAAGGUUGCAUGGAAAUAUCUCUCUCAUUUUCAGCAGCAGUCCAAGGCAGUAGAGCUCUUGUUGGUACAACCGUGAGAACCCCUCUCUCCCUCAAAACACAAUGGGAUGGAGCAAACCUGCAGCAAAUUCUUCCCAGCAAGUCACUGCCUCGCCAACAGUGAGCAUCAGUUUAUGGCUCUAGGAAGCACUAAAUGUACUGGAAGGGAACAAUCUGGGUGUCUUGACUAGCACACAUUUUAUAUGUCAGUGGGCUCCGGUCAGCACUUCUUUUCUCCAGUUCACUGAGACCUUCAGAGAGGCUUCUUGUUGUUCCC
Gallus gallus (chicken) is the source of this 3863-nucleotide long non-coding RNA. RefSeq lists it as uncharacterized. The transcript is spliced from 3 exons. The record is from RefSeq and is a predicted model, not a curated record. Lineage: Eukaryota; Metazoa; Chordata; Aves; Galliformes; Phasianidae.